Long non-coding RNA from Brassica napus (rape), 3086 nucleotides. RefSeq lists it as uncharacterized. NCBI's taxonomy places the organism in Eukaryota, Viridiplantae, Streptophyta, Magnoliopsida, Brassicales, Brassicaceae. The record is from RefSeq and is a predicted model, not a curated record. The transcript has 2 exons.
CUUCAUAAAAUAUAUUUACAUAUCUAAGACAACAACCACCUAAAUGCAAAUAAGAAAUUAAUCAAAACUUUAAUAUAUAUAAUAAAAAAAUAUUACAGUUGAAUUCAGAGAUGCAAUUCAAUUUAUCCAAAUGAUAACUAAAUCGACUAUAAAAACAAAAACAAAAACAAUUAGAUAUAAGAUAUAUAAAAAUCAUAUAUAUAAUUAAAGUAAUAUAAUAUUAUUAAUAUAAAUGAUGUAUACAAAUUAUAAAUUAAUUUAAAAUUAAAAAUAAAUAGCAAUCAAUUAUUAUAUUUUAUUUAUUUUAUAAAUAUUUAUAACCGCGCAUGAUCACGUAAAAUCACUCUAGUAAUAGUAUAGAUAGUUCGCUGUAGUAUUAGUAUUUUAACGUUGUUAGUGAGGUCCAUUACAUUACUAGAUGUAGUGAUCGGCUUAUAGGCCCAUCAAAAAUAAUAUUACGGGUGGUGCAUAAACCGCUAGAGUAAAAUGCUCAUAAUAUAUUAUCACAAUGAAUACUUGUCUCACAACAAAUGCUAUUCGUAUGUCGACAUUUGAAUUCUCUUUUUAAGCAAAAACUAGGGCAAUGUACAGAUAGAAACAAAGCUACGUAGCUGAUUGUAAAUAUUUAAUCAGAAAUACAUUAUUGCGUGUUUUUAUUUUGUUAUAUAUUUAUUUUCUUUUGUUUAUUUAAAGCAAAAAUGAAUAGUCUUCGUAUCAUUCUUUUCACCAAAAGAAAGUGUUUCUUACUAAAAUUAAACUACUAAUAAAUCAGAAGACAAACGUGAUACAAUUAUGUAAAUGUUUGGGUAAGAAACAUGCUUAAUAUAAAGUUGAUUAAGAACUAAUCAUCGGGUACUGCCAAUUCUACCGGGUUCAGUUCUCGGAUUAACUGUGGUUCCAAUUUUGUGGCAAGAGUUUGUGCUGAGUUUGGUGUAGCCUAUGGUCUUGUUGUUGUUUUGCUUGUAGAUGUUGUUUGCCUUGUUUAGCUUAGAUUAAGUUGAUGUUUAGCUUAAUUUCUUGCAUCUUCUGCUUCUUGUAAACUCUGUAUUUCUGUCUAAAACUUGAAAAUGGUAAUAAAGCUUUAACAUUGUUACCAAAAAAAAAAAGUUGAUUAAGAAUUUGUUUCUUUUUAAAUAAAUUUUCGUCAAAUUUUGUUAAUUAUAAGAUUAUGUAUUUUUAUAUAAGAUAAUCUAAUAUAUUUCCAAUUUUGUUGAUUUUUAUGUUUUAAUGAUAUACGUUAUGGUGGACAUGAUAUUAAAAGAAGUAUGUAUACUCUUAGAAAUUGUGUUAUGAGCUUUAAAAUAUCAAAAUGUAAUUUAUUUGUUAUUCGUAAUAUUUAUUAUAUUAAUUUUUAAAUUCUUAAAUGUAACAUCUAUACUUGAAAAAUAAACCAGGCUUUUUAAUGGAUUUUGAAAAAUAUUUUAUAUACAAAAUAAGCCUAGUGGAUAAGGGAUGGGUUCAUUUGGGUCAAGAUGGAGUUUUUGAUACUGGCAACAUGAGCAUAUCGAUUUAAUUAAAAUGCUUCGAUGAAGAAAAAAAACAAAUGUUUCUCUGCAAAACUUAAAAAGACGAUUGAGAGUUCUAGAUCCAUCGACAACCCACCUUCUCUGAUCUCUACUAAUAAUGUUUGCAUGUCGAAUCUGAAGCCAUCUGUGUUAAAAACGAUUAGUCGGAGAAGGUUAUCUAUUGGCUUCACCUUUCCGAUAUACAACAAAGUCAUAAGAAUUUUCAGAAGACAACAAAAUGGUAAAUCUAAUCUUAUGUCUUCCUUUUUGAUUAAUAGUUAACCGUCAAAUCUGAUUUUUUUUCAAAAAUUAACUAUUGUGAUUUAUUUUUCUCUCAUUUAUUUUUGAUGUGAAAUCCUAUGAGAUUAUAACUAUUCGAAUUGUUCAAAUAAUAACUGAAGCACUGAAAAGCCUUGAGAAAUUGAGAAAAGCUCUAGAAAAAACAUCCAAAUGAUGUUCCACGAUCGAAAGACUUAAAUAUACCAAACUCUAGAGGUUUGUAUUCAAGAAUCUAUUUACUUUUUUAAAAAUUCUUUAUUUUAAAUUAUCUUUUUAUUUUAAAUUUUUUGUCUGAAAGAAAAUAUUAGUAUGUUGUUUAACGGUUUGUUUUGUUAUUAUACUUACCAUCCUUUAUUUGUCUUCGAGAUUAUUGAUUAUCAAGAUGCUUUGGAUUGGUUGAACAUCCAUUCUGAUUGGCUUUAAAAACACAUGAGCUUACUCGAAACUGAGCCUAAUUUGUUUGAGUUUAAUUUUUUCUCGUUGAGAUUCUGCUUUAAUAGUAUAGAUGUCUACACUAGAAUUAAUAGUUGUAACUAGGAGAGGACAUAAUAUCCAGUUCUAAAAUCCGAACCCGAACCCGAAUACCGAUAAAAAAUAUCCGACCAUGUAUUGAACUAGAGAAAUUUGAAUAUCCGAUGAAUAUCCAAAAUAACCAAAUAUAUAUAUAUAUAUAUAUAUAUAUAUAAACUGUACUACUGUACAUAGACCCCAUAAAUUAGGGUUUAAAAAAAAAGAUGACUCACUGAUAAUAUGUUAAUUAAAAUGAUUAUGUGACUUGUUGGAGUUGGAGCACCAAAAGAAACAGAUUCAUGGUACCCUGGAAGGCUACGAUGGACUAAUGGGAGCAAGGACCACGAGAGCGAGUCAGUCGCCACUACACUCAGAGAUAGAGGCCCUUAUAUAGGCAAUGGAAUGUAUGAGGAAUCUUAGACAAACAUGGGUUACUUUUGCAACGGAUAGUGCUCAAUUGGUGAAGAUGGUGUCGGAACCUAGAAGAGUGACCAGCCUUUGCAAGCUAUUUGGAAGACAUAAAAGUUUUAAAGAGGAGUUUCAACAGCUCAGAGAUCAUUCAUAUACCACGGACACAGAACUCAAAGGCGGACAGUCUCGCACGCAGUGCAAGAAAGCAACCGUCGUUUGUCGUCCAUAUGGAUGCAGAGCUACCGGGAUGGUUCACAGAGUCUACAUGAAUCUGCUUUGUUUGCUGACAAAAAAAAAAAGAUACAGAUUCAUGUUCCUUCUUCCAAACAUAAAAUUUGCAGGGAACAACUAAAGAAUGGCAAUUAGUUACUUUAACUGAAA